Suricata suricatta (meerkat) is the source of this 1353-nucleotide long non-coding RNA. RefSeq lists it as uncharacterized. NCBI's taxonomy places the organism in Eukaryota, Metazoa, Chordata, Mammalia, Carnivora, Herpestidae. The transcript is spliced from 2 exons. The record is from RefSeq and is a predicted model, not a curated record.
CCAAUGUGGGGUUUGAACUCAUGACCCUGAGAUCAAGAGUCACAUGCUCUACCAAUCUGAAAAUUAGUUCUGAAAUCAGGUUGAAUCAUAUUUCAAAACAGGAGAAAUAUAAUACCACUCUACUCUUCUUCCAUCAACCCAAAUGGGUAUCUUUAUAAAGGUAGUAAACUUUUUGAAGCUGUUAUAUUAUCUUUUGUUAACACAAAGAAUCCAAUCUCUGGUUCUUGAAGGUAACUCUAAAUUGAAGGUUUCCUCUUGUUUGACAAAGCAUUUACCACUGUUUAGGAAAAUCUCACUCUACUAGUUCCAGGGCUCAGUUGUAGUUUUAUUUAGUACACUAGGUUUGUUUGUUUGUUUUUUAAGUCAACUCCUUGAUAAGGGGCUUACUCCCAUGAAGGACAAGCAGAGUCAAAAGCAACUACUAAGCAACUGUUAGCUGUAAAAACAGUUUUCUCACCAAGUUUAUGUAAGCUGGGAUUAAAAGUGGACAAAUUUUCGACUCCAAAAUCAGAGCAGCAUAUAAUUUUAACAAAGAAUUUUAUCCUGGGAUAUUUUUGCAAGAUAAUUUAUCCUUUCUGCUUUAUCAGGACCUUUGCAAGUCACUGUUUAAUGUCUUAAGAGUUAGGAGAAAUUUUGUGACUGUUUUUAAAACUUACUUUCUGGACAUUGAACGAAGAAUCUUUCGACUUUUGCUCAAGUUUUCACUUGUGUUUACCAGCUGAGAAGAGAAAAUAGCAAUUAUUUCCCCCUUUUAAAAGUACAUACUGUAGAACCUGAACAUUCAAACUCUACCAAACCAAUCUGAAUGAUGACCUCUGAGUAUAAGUAGAAGAAACUGGAAAGGAUAAGAUACUUAGGACACAACAAGCAGGCGCAGGGAUGAUUAUAUCCCAAGGUUACUGUGGGGACUCCUGGGGCCAAGCUAAUCCUUCACCUUGGCUACUCAAGGCAGAAAAAGGCUUCGUGUGUGCCUCACCAGUAACUGAAGCAACUUAAGAUUUGAAUUUCAUCAACCAAACUCCAGGAGGGACUCUUGGGUUAGUUUGGUAAUUCACCAGCCUACAAAAACACUUUUGGGAUCUGAUUUUUUUUUUUAACCCCUUUUACAGAUGCACUGAAUUAUGAAAGGAAUUAAUCUUUUAAAAGCCUUUAAAAAAAUCAUUUCCUUUUGGUUGCCUGUUAAUAAUCAAGAUAGCUGGAGGAUAUUUUAACAGAUGCCACCUGCCAUCUGUUCCCAUUCCCCAGUGGACAUGGGCGACAAACCAACUAGAUUCCACAGUCCUAGAUGAAGAUUCUCACCUGACUGGUACUGAGGACGGAUGCACCAUGAAUAAACUAUCCGUUUUUAGCACA